GAUGAACGCUGGCGGCGUGCCUAAUACAUGCAAGUAGAACGCAGAAGCGUGGUGCUUGCACCUAUCGCAUUAGUGGCGAACGGGUGAGUAACGCGUAGGUAACCUGCCUAUAAGCCGGGGAUAACUACUGGAAACGAGAGCUAAUACCGGAUAAUAUUUUAUACCGCAUGAUAUUGUAGUGAAAGGUGCAAUUGCUGCCCUAUGUAGUGGAACUCCCUCGCAUUUGCAAGUUGGUUAGGUAACGGCCUACCAAGGCAACCAUGCGGAACCGACCUGAGAGGUUGAUCGGCCACCCUGGAACGAGGACACGGUCCAGACUCCUACGGGAGGCAGCAGUAGGAAAUCUUCCGCAAUGGGCGAAAGCCUGACGGAGCAACGCCGCUGGGGUGAUGAAGUUCUCCGGAUCUUAAAACUCUUUUAAUAGGGAAGAACAGAUUUGUAAGUAACUAUUCACGCCUUGACGGUACCUAAUCAGAAAGCCACGGCUAACUACGUG
Molecule: ribosomal RNA, 496 nt
Filed under: uncultured bacterium
Lineage: Bacteria
Description: partial 16S ribosomal RNA
Rfam family: Bacterial small subunit ribosomal RNA
Source: RNAcentral